GGAGUCGCUCCCAAGGGUUGGGCUGUUCGCCCAUUAAAGCGGUACGCGAGCUGGGUUUAGAACGUCGUGAGACAGUUCGGUCCCUAUCCUCUGUGCGCGUAGGAAACUUGAGAAGUGCUGCCCCUAGUACGAGAGGACCGGGGUGGACGAACCUCUGGUGUGUCAGUUGUCCUGCCAAGGGCACGGCUGAUUAGCUACGUUCGGAAGUGAUAACCGCUGAAAGCAUCUAAGCGGGAAGCACGCUUCAAGAUGAGGUUUCCAUGAACUUCGGUUCGAGAGGCUCCCGGGUAGACUACCGGGUUGAUAGGCCAGAUGUGGAAGUGCAGUAAUGCAUGUAGCUGACUGGUACUAAUAAGCCGAUAACUUGAUACACACAA
Molecule: ribosomal RNA, 377 nt
Filed under: Intrasporangiaceae bacterium
Lineage: Bacteria; Bacillati; Actinomycetota; Actinomycetes; Micrococcales; Intrasporangiaceae
Description: partial 23S ribosomal RNA
Rfam family: Bacterial large subunit ribosomal RNA
Source: RNAcentral